RNAcentral lists this ribosomal RNA (639 nucleotides) under uncultured soil bacterium. Its description in RNAcentral is "bacterial SSU rRNA". It matches the Rfam family "Bacterial small subunit ribosomal RNA", at positions 18 to 661 of the family's 1533-position model. The record is from RNAcentral.
CCUGGCUCAGGACGAACGCUGGCGGCGUGCUUAACACACGCAAGUCGAGGGCGGGGUGGGGCAACUCUUCCCGACCGGCGAACGGGUGCGUAACACGUGAGCGACCUGCCUUCCCGCGGGGGAUAGCCGGCCCAACGGCCGGGUAAUACCGCAUACGCUCGGUUGGGGGCAUAUCUGACCGAGGAAACUUCCGGGGCGGGGAGAGGGGCUCGCGGCCUAUCAGCUAGUUGGCGGGGUAACGGCCCACCAAGGCGGUGACGGGUAGCUGGUCUGAGAGGAUGGCCAGCCACAUUGGGACUGAGAGACGGCCCAGACUCCUACGGGAGGCAGCAGUGGGGAAUCUUGCGCAAUGGGAGCAAUCCUGACGCAGCGACGCCGCGUGGGGGAGGAAGGGCUUCGGCUCGUAAACCCCUGUUGCCCGGGGCGAACCUCGGCUUUCGAGCCGACUGACGGUACCGGGUGAGGAAGCACCGGCUAACUCCGUGCCAGCAGCCGCGGUAAUACGGAGGGUGCGAGCGUUGUCCGGAAUCACUGGGCGUAAAGGGCGCGUAGGCGGCAUGCCAAGCGUGUGGUGAAAGCCCGGGGCUCAACCCCGGGUCGGCCGUGCGGACUGGCGUGCUUGAGCACUGUAGGGGCGGG